RNAcentral lists this long non-coding RNA (234 nucleotides) under Capsicum annuum. RNAcentral's name for it is "long non-coding RNA (CANN_LNC015641)". Lineage: Eukaryota; Viridiplantae; Streptophyta; Magnoliopsida; Solanales; Solanaceae. The record is from RNAcentral.
CAAACAGCCUUGUGUCUAUAAUUAUAAAUUACUAGAUAAUAUAGCUAUUUUCAUACUUCGAGCAGACAACAACUCACCUUAGCUAAUAAAUCCUUCUCUACCUUCUACUAAACUAACACACAAGGACCUAUCACUUUAAUACCAACUCAAUCUCAUGCAAAAAGGUUCUCCUAUACAUGCAUUCAAUAAAUCGCCCUUACCAUUUUUCUUUCCUUUACACCUCUAAACCCCCAG